UACGUAGGGUGCGAGCGUUGUCCGGAAUUACUGGGCGUAAAGAGCUCGUAGGUGGUUUGUCGCGUUGUUCGUGAAAACUCACAACUCAAUUGUGGGCGUGCGGGCGAUACGGGCAGACUGGAGUACUGCAGGGGAGACUGGAAUUCCUGGUGUAGCGGUGGAAUGCGCAGAUAUCAGGAGGAACACCGGUGGCGAAGGCGGGUCUCUGGACAGUUCCUGACACUGAGGCACGAAGGCCAGGGGAGCAAACGGG
Molecule: ribosomal RNA, 253 nt
Filed under: uncultured bacterium
Lineage: Bacteria
Description: partial 16S ribosomal RNA
Rfam family: Bacterial small subunit ribosomal RNA
Source: RNAcentral